RNAcentral lists this ribosomal RNA (460 nucleotides) under uncultured bacterium. Its description in RNAcentral is "partial 16S ribosomal RNA". It matches the Rfam family "Bacterial small subunit ribosomal RNA", at positions 338 to 795 of the family's 1533-position model. The record is from RNAcentral.
CCUACGGGAGGCAGCAGUGAGGAAUAUUGGUCAAUGGGCGCAAGCCUGAACCAGCCAAGUAGCGUGCAGGAUGACGGCCCUACGGAUUGUAAACUUCUUUUAUCAAGGAAUAAAAUGAGGCUCGUGAGCCUUUUUGUAGGUACUUUAUGAAAAAGGAUCGGCUAACUCCGUGCCAGCAGCCGCGGUAAUACGGAGGAUCCGAGCGUUAUCCGGAUUUAUUGGGUUUAAAGGGAGCGUAGAUGGGUUGUUAAGUCAGGUGUGAAAGUUUGCGGCUCAACCGCAGAAGUGCAAUUGAUACUGGCAGCCUUGAGUGCAGAUGAGGUAGGCGGAAUUCGUGGUGUAGCGGUGAAAUGCUUAGAUAUCACGAAGAACUCCGAUUGCGAAGGCAGCCGACUGGACUGCAACUGACGCUGAGGCUCGAAAGUGUGGGUAUCAAACAGGAUUAGAUACCCUAGUAGUC